ACGAACGCUGGCGGCGUGCCUAAUACAUGCAAGUAGCACGCUGAAGCUUGGUGCUUGCCCCGAGCGGAUGAGUUGCGAACGGGUGAGUAACGCGUAGGUAACCUGCCUGGUAGCGGGGGAUAACUAUUGGAAACGAUAGCUAAUACCGCAUAAGAGUAGAUGUUGCAUGACAUUUGCUUAAAAGGUGCAAUUGCAUCACUACCAGAUGGACCCGCGUUGUAUUAGCUAGUUGGUGAGGUAACGGCUCACCAAGGCAACGAUACAUAGCCGACCUGAGAGGGUGAUCGGCCACACUGGGACUGAGACACGGCCCAGACUCCUACGGGAGGCAGCAGUAGGGAAUCUUCGGCAAUGGACGGAAGUCUGACCGAGCAACGCCGCGUGAGUGAAGAAGGUUUUCGGAUCGUAAAGCUCUGUUGUAAGAGAAGAACGAGUGUGAGAGUGGAAAGUUCACACUGUGACGGUAUCUUACCAGAAAGGGACGGCUAACUACGUG
This 496-nucleotide ribosomal RNA is filed under the name uncultured bacterium. RNAcentral's name for it is "partial 16S ribosomal RNA". It matches the Rfam family "Bacterial small subunit ribosomal RNA", at positions 29 to 507 of the family's 1533-position model. The record is from RNAcentral.